RNAcentral lists this ribosomal RNA (201 nucleotides) under uncultured bacterium. RNAcentral describes it as "partial 16S ribosomal RNA". It matches the Rfam family "Bacterial small subunit ribosomal RNA", at positions 1300 to 1500 of the family's 1533-position model. The record is from RNAcentral.
GCAGUCUGCAACUCGAGUGCAUGAAGCUGGAAUCGCUAGUAAUCGCGAAUCAGAAUGUCGCGGUGAAUACGUUCCCGGGUCUUGUACACACCGCCCGUCACACCAUGGGAGCCGACAACGCCCGAAGUCAGUGACCUAACCGAGAGGGAGGANCCGCCGAAGGCGGGGUUGGUAACUGGGGUGAAGUCGUAACAAGGUACC